GGGUGAGGGAAGAAUUUUACAGUCAUGCUCUGGGACUAGUAUGUGGAGAGAUUGGUGUCAAAGAAGAAGCCUGGGUAAAGUUGGCCCUGGAAUCCUCUCCUGCGUAGCAAAGUCUGGACCCAAGGGCCAAGUCAUACCACCAUGGGAUUGGAUGGACCGUCUGCAGGAGGUGCAAGAGAGAGGGGCUGCUAGGCUGUGCCCAGGUAUGAGGUAGCAUGCCAGUGAUGAGUCCACCCUUCUAUACAUGAGAACUUGCAAGUGAAACUGAGUAAAGUCUGAACAGAAACAAAAUCAACUAGAGAACAGCAAAACAAGAAAAUGCAAAAGUAAAGCUUGAGGAGAGAGCCCAGUAUGUGUCUCUCCUGAGAGUCUAGUCUAAACUGAAAAGAAAAUGGCAGCCUGUCACCGUUACACAGGAUGAACUUGCCUCUGACAGCCUUUCUGGGGGGCACCCCUUUUAGUCAUAGGCUUGAGGCCUGCACUUUUUUGCAAGGGGGAGUCUGUGCUCGCUACUCUGAGACUGGACCUCUGGCUUCAGCACUCCUGUUUGUUUCUCACCAUGGCUCCUUCAGUGAGUAUAAAAGAGCUUGAAUCCCUCUUGGAGACUUUACCUCUUUAGAAACAAUGCAAUCAGCCGAUGUUUGCUGUGAUAGAGAACAGUCUUUGUAAAGUCAACAGCAUUUAUUUUAGUCAACUGGAAUACAGUAUGUAGGUUUCUCUGCUUAGAAUGGAAAAAGAAAGCUUACAUGUCUGUACAUACUGGCAAACCAACCUGCCUCUUUUUCCCCAAAAUGUCUAGGAUUGAAAAGUCUGCUCACGCUUCAGUUCUUUAUUUCAAGUAGCAGUCGCUCUGGUUUCACACAUUCCGUCUCUCUUGGCUGGCAGUCAUUAGUGACCAGUCCUUAGUCUUCCAUUGUCUCUUCAAGGUACCUCCAUGUACAUGUUCUUGAUAGGCAUGUCUGAGUUGGUAUGAACUAUCUGACCAAAACCCCUCUUAUUUUCCCGUCCCAGGAAAUACAUUAAACCCCUCAAUCAGGAGCAACAGAAGCUCCCUGAAAGUGGGGGGCCAGUGGUGGCCGAACCAUGUCCCUGUCCCCCCACGCCACCCCUUCUCCCUGAGGCCCUGCUCUCACACCAGCUCCCCUCUCCCACUCCUCUCCGCCUCCAUUCGCCCUUACGGCCGGUAAAAAGUGAUGGGGCCAUGCCCCUCUAGCCCCUGUUCCAGCACCCCUUCCUUCAAUCCCAGUAGGUAACAAUACAAAAGUUAGUGGGUGAAACUGAGUCAUGCCUAUUUUUCAUAAAAAUAAUACAGAUUUUCCCCAUGUUCUUCAGAUGGAAGGUCUGAUGCAGAGACAGGCUAUCUGAGGAUCUCAAAGCACUUUACAAACUAAUCUUUCACAUUUCUAAAGUGUUCCGAGUGUCACACAUUGAGGUGUUGCCAGAAUCAGGAUCCAGAACCCCUAAUUCCAGUCCUUGUCACUAGACAAUUUGCCUUUUUAAAACAAAAUGUUGUCAUUCAUGUAAAAAUGCAGGGAAGAUUUUAAUUAUGUGCUCUAAGGUAAAAUAUUGAAUGUCUCAGUAUAUCUCUGAAUAUCUAGUGUUGCACUAAAGAUCAGAAUGUUGCUAAGGGAGACAAGAUCAGAUAUUCAAGAUAGCAGUGUGCAAAAUUCUCAAACCACCACCCCCUAAAUCUUCCUAGUAAAAAUCUCAUUGACUUCAAUGCAAGCAGGAUUUGAUUUCACAAGAAAAUUAGUAUUUUGGAAUCUUCAAUAAUCUGAAUAAAUAGAAAAUCCCAUGUCACUAAAAUAAUAAGUGUCCUUAAUCUAAUUAUAGUUAAAAUUAGGUUCAGGCAAAGUCCUCACAAUAGAAAUACAAAGAGCUAAUGCUUCCACAAAGUACUAUGGAAAAUGAAUGUAAAGCUGCCAAAUUCUGCCUUCAGAUACACAAACAUUACUCUGAUUUUUGAGAGUAGGUUUCAGGCCUUAUUGUGUGCAACACAUUGUGCAACUGGAAUGAAUGGAAAACAUUGAAAAGGUAAAUUACAUGGAGCUCAAGAUGUUUACUAUCAAGAUGGAAAUGUUGGGCAAGCAAAAAAUGACCAAUUACCUUGGGAGGGUGGGGGUUGAGCGGGGAGUUAACACAAAGACACAGUAAAAUAUAUGAACAACAGGAACCGGAUCAAAGCACAAAGUUAGAGACGUGUGCGUGUGUGUGUGUGUGUGUGUGUGUGUUUAUAUUUAAAAAAAAAAAAAAGCAUUGAGGUAGGAGGGGGCA
This is a long non-coding RNA of Chelonia mydas (Green sea turtle), 2274 nucleotides long. RefSeq lists it as uncharacterized. The transcript has 2 exons. NCBI's taxonomy places the organism in Eukaryota, Metazoa, Chordata, Testudines, Cheloniidae. The record is from RefSeq and is a predicted model, not a curated record.